GGAUGAGCCUGCGUUGGAUUAGCUAGUUGGUGGGGUAAGGGCCCACCAAGGCUACGAUCCAUAGCUGAUUUGAGAGGAUGAUCAGCCACAUUGGGACUGAGACACGGCCCAAACUCCUACGGGAGGCAGCAGUGGGGAAUAUUGGACAAUGGGGGCAACCCUGAUCCAGCAAUGCCAUGUGUGUGAAGAAGGCCCUAGGGUUGUAAAGCACUUUAGUUGGGGAGGAAAGCCUCAAGGUUAAUAGCCUUGGGGGAGGACGUUACCCAAAGAAUAAGCACCGGCUAACUCCGUGCCAGCAGCCGCGGUAAUACGGGGGGUGCAAGCGUUAAUCGGAAUUACUGGGCGUAAAGGGUCUGUAGGUGGUUUGUUAAGUCAGAUGUGAAAGCCCAGGGCUCAACCUUGGAACUGCAUUUGAUACUGGCAAACUAGAGUACGGUAGAGGAAUGGGGAAUUUCUGGUGUAGCGGUGAAAUGCGUAGAGAUCAGAAGGAACACCAAUGGCGAAGGCAACAUUCUGGACCGAUACUGACACUGAGGGACGAAAGCGUGGGGAUCAAACAGGAUUAGAUACCCUGGUAGUCCACGCUGUAAACGAUGAGUACUAGCUGUUGGAGUCGGUGUAAAGGCUCUAGUGGCGCAGCUAACGCGAUAAGUACUCCGCCUGGGGACUACGGCCGCAAGGCUAAAACUCAAAGGAAUUGACGGGGACCCGCACAAGCGGUGGAGCAUGUGGUUUAAUUCGAUGCAACGCGAAGAACCUUACCUGGUCUUGACAUCCUGCGAACUUUCUAGAGAUAGAUUGGUGCCUUCGGGAACGCAGUG
This 821-nucleotide ribosomal RNA is filed under the name Francisella-like endosymbiont. RNAcentral describes it as "bacterial SSU rRNA". It matches the Rfam family "Bacterial small subunit ribosomal RNA", at positions 223 to 1033 of the family's 1533-position model. Lineage: Bacteria; Pseudomonadati; Pseudomonadota; Gammaproteobacteria; Thiotrichales; Francisellaceae. The record is from RNAcentral.